Molecule: transfer RNA, 75 nt
Filed under: Bacteriophage sp.
Description: tRNA-His
Rfam family: tRNA
About the family: Transfer RNA (tRNA) molecules are approximately 80 nucleotides in length. Their secondary structure includes four short double-helical elements and three loops (D, anti-codon, and T loops). Further hydrogen bonds mediate the characteristic L-shaped molecular structure. tRNAs have two regions of fundamental functional importance: the anti-codon, which is responsible for specific mRNA codon recognition, and the 3' end, to which the tRNAs corresponding amino acid is attached (by aminoacyl-tRNA synthetases). tRNAs cope with the degeneracy of the genetic code in two manners: having more than one tRNA (with a specific anti-codon) for a particular amino acid; and 'wobble' base-pairing, i.e. permitting non-standard base-pairing at the 3rd anti-codon position.
Source: RNAcentral
GUGUUAUUAGUUCAGUUGGCAGAACGCUACAUUGUGGCUGUAGAGGUCAGCGGUUCGAAUCCGCUAUAACACCCA